Molecule: ribosomal RNA, 951 nt
Filed under: uncultured Bacillota bacterium
Lineage: Bacteria; Bacillati; Bacillota
Description: bacterial SSU rRNA
Rfam family: Bacterial small subunit ribosomal RNA
Source: RNAcentral
UGGAUCCAGACUUUGAUUAUGGCUCAGGAUGAACGCUGGCGGCGUGCCUAAUACAUGCAAGUCGAACGAAACUUCUUUAUCACCGAGUGCUUGCACUCACCGAUGAAGAGUUGAGUGGCGAACGGGUGAGUAACACGUGGGCAACCUGCCCGAAAGAGGGGGAUAACACUUGGAAACAGGUGCUAAUACCGCAUAACCAUGAACACCGCAUGGUGUUUAUGUGAAAGGUGGUUUCGGCUACCGCUUUCGGAUGGGCCCGCGGCGCAUUAGCUAGUUGGUGGGGUAAAGGCUUACCAAGGCAAUGAUGCGUAGCCGAACUGAGAGGUUGAUCGGCCACAUUGGGACUGAGACACGGCCCAAACUCCUACGGGAGGCAGCAGUAGGGAAUCUUCCACAAUGGGCGAAAGCCUGAUGGAGCAACGCCGCGUGGGUGAAGAAGGUCUUCGGAUCGUAAAACCCUGUUGUCAGAGAAGAAAGUGCAUGAGAGUAACUGUUCAUGUUUCGACGGUAUCUGACCAGAAAGCCACGGCUAACUACGUGCCAGCAGCCGCGGUAUUACGUAGGUGGCAAGCGUUAUCCGGAUUUAUUGGGCGUAAAGGGAACGCAGGCGGUCUUUUAAGUCUGAUGUGAAAGCCUUCGGCUUAACCGGAGUAGUGCAUUGGAAACUGGGAGACUUGAGUGCAGAAGAGGAGAGUGGAACUCCAUGUGUAGCGAUGAAAUGCGUAGAUAUAUGGAAGAACACCAGUGGCGAAAGCGGCUCUCUGGUCUGUAACUGACGCUGAGGUUCGAAAGCGUGGGUAGCAAACAGGAUUAGAUACCCUGGUAGUCCACGCCGUAAACGAUGAAUGCUAAGUGUUGGAGGGUUUCCGCCCUUCAGUGCCGCAGUUAACACAAUAAGCAUUCCGCCUGGGGAGUACGACCGCAAGGUUGCAACUCAAAUGAAUUGACGGA